GACGAACGCUGGCGGCGUGCUUAACACAUGCAAGUCGAACGGAAAGGCCCUGCUUUUGUGGGGUGCUCGAGUGGCGAACGGGUGAGUAACACGUGAGUAACCUGCCCUUGACUUUGGGAUAACUUCAGGAAACUGGGGCUAAUACCGGAUAGGAGCUCCUGCUGCAUGGUGGGGGUUGGAAAGUUUCGGCGGUUGGGGAUGGACUCGCGGCUUAUCAGCUUGUUGGUGGGGUAGUGGCUUACCAAGGCUUUGACGGGUAGCCGGCCUGAGAGGGUGACCGGCCACAUUGGGACUGAGAUACGGCCCAGACUCCUACGGGAGGCAGCAGUGGGGAAUAUUGCACAAUGGGCGGAAGCCUGAUGCAGCAACGCCGCGUGCGGGAUGACGGCCUUCGGGUUGUAAACCGCUUUCGCCUGUGACGAAGCGUGAGUGACGGUAAUGGGUAAAGAAGCACCGGCUAACUACGUGCCAGCAGCCCGCGUGAUACGUAGGUGCGAGCGUUGUCCGGAUUUAUGGGCGUAAAGGGCUCGUAGGUGGUUGAUCGCGUCGGAAGGGUAAUCUUGGGGCUUAACCCUGAGCGUGCUUUCGAUACGGGUUGACUUGAGGAAGGUAGGGGAGAAUGGAAUUCCUGGUGGAGCGGUGGAAUGCGCAGAUAUCAGGAGGAACACCAGUGGCGAAGGCGGUUCUCUGGGCCUUUCCUGACGCUGAGGAGCGAAAGCGUGGGGAGCGAACAGGCUUAGAUACCCUGGUAGUCCACGCUGUAAACGGUGGGUACUAGGUGUGGGGUCCAUUCCACGGGUUCCGUGCCGUAGCUAACGCUUUAAGUACCCCGCCUGGGGAGUACGGCCGCAAGGCUAAAACUCAAAGGAAUUGACGGGGCCCCGCACAAGCGGCGGAGCAUGCGGAUUAAUUCGAUGCAACGCGUAGAACCUUACCUGGGUUUGACAUGGAUCGGGAGUGCUCAGAGAUGGGUGUGCCUCUUUUGGGGUCGGUUCACAGGUGGUGCAUGGCUGUCGUCAGCUCGUGUCGUGAGAUGUUGGGUUAAGUCCCGCAACGAGCGCAACCCUUGUUCACUGUUGCCAGCACGUUAUGGUGGGGACUCAGUGGAGACCGCCGGGGUCAACUCGGAGGAAGGUGGGGAUGACGUCAAGUCAUCAUGCCCCUUAUGUCCAGGGCUUCACGCAUGCUACAAUGGCUGGUACAGAGAGUGGCGAGCCUGUGAGGGUGAGCGAAUCUCGGAAAGCCGGUCUCAGUUCGGAUUGGGGUCUGCAACUCGACCUCAUGAAGUCGGAGUCGCUAGUAAUCGCAGAUCAGCAACGCUGCGGUGAAUACGUUCCCGGG
Molecule: ribosomal RNA, 1341 nt
Filed under: uncultured bacterium
Lineage: Bacteria
Description: 16S ribosomal RNA
Rfam family: Bacterial small subunit ribosomal RNA
Source: RNAcentral